CUUUUUGUGCAUAAUGUAUAUAUAGGGGACCCCUGGGGUUGGCAGCCCUGGUGGCCGAUGAGUGGGUAUGAUGGCUAUCCGACACGAGGCCACCCAUCUCGACUAAGUUGCCUAGAAAAAUAGCCCGGAGCGUGGCUUGUUGCCCAUGGUGGUUUUGGGACUUGCUGUGCGGGAGACAUGGUGAUGCGGUGCGCGGAAAUGACGGGGACCCUUUUCGAUGAUACUUGUGGCGUUGUGGGCCUCGCAAAUAUGAGGCAUGUCGGUAAUGUCUGCUGUUAUUCUCUCGCAUCGUUCGGUGCAUCCUGGGAGCUGUUGGGACUUUUGGUUGCUUCUUGGCUUGAAUGCCUUGUGGGUGGCUAAUUGUUAGGCGGUUUUCGGGGAUGACUAUCGUAAAGGUGCAUGAGUGGUGCUUGGUUUGUUACCGGUGGUUGGCUCUCUGCUUUUGCGACAACUUCCACCUGGCAUUCCUCUUCGGUUUUGCGUCAAGAAAGCAUUUCCUUGACCGCUUAUGGUUUCCUGUGUUGCCUACCUACGUGACGGUAUCGUUUGAUUAAAUCAAAGUCAUGUUUCAUCGUGUGUCAUUAGUAUGGCGUUGGAUGAACCUCAAAGCAAUUUCUAUGUUCCACUUUGUUGUUAAAAAUGCGUCUAUUUUGUGGCUCAUUGAGUUUUGCUUGGUUUUCUGGAUGCGGAACAUGAUAUGGGUGUGGUCGCUCGCGAUCCUCUUUUUGCCCUUCGUUGAACGUUGUUAUUACUUUGAGAUGAUUGCCUAUCCCGAAUUGGCUCGUACCACCGGGGUUGGUUAGGUUGUUGAUGAGUAAUACUAGCGUUCUUGCUUCUCUAAAACAGACGGCAUCGCCUUGAUUGGCUUGUACCAACAGGCGGGCUACGUCAAAAAGGGAUGC
RNAcentral lists this unclassified non-coding RNA (902 nucleotides) under Schizogyne sericea. RNAcentral describes it as "partial external transcribed spacer". The record is from RNAcentral. Lineage: Eukaryota; Viridiplantae; Streptophyta; Magnoliopsida; Asterales; Asteraceae.